Molecule: transfer RNA, 67 nt
Filed under: Aromobates saltuensis (salty rocket frog)
Lineage: Eukaryota; Metazoa; Chordata; Amphibia; Anura; Aromobatidae
Description: partial tRNA-Tyr
Source: RNAcentral
GGUAAGGUGGCCGAGCAGGUAGUGGGUUGUAGCCCCACUCACAGAGGUUUUAGUCCUCUUCUUAUCA